RNAcentral lists this ribosomal RNA (424 nucleotides) under uncultured bacterium. RNAcentral's name for it is "bacterial SSU rRNA". It matches the Rfam family "Bacterial small subunit ribosomal RNA", at positions 354 to 796 of the family's 1533-position model. The record is from RNAcentral.
GUUAGGAAUCUUCGGCAAUGGGCGAAAGCCUGACCGAGCGACACUGCUUGGAGGAUGAAGGUCUUCGGAUCGUAAACUCCUGAACGAGGGACGAAUAAUGACGGUACCUCGCUAAUAGCACCGGCUAACUCCGUGCCAGCAGCCGCGGUAAUACGGAGGGUGAGAGCGUUAUCCGGAAUCACUGGGCGUAAAGGGCGCGUAGGCGGUUUGUUAAGUCCGAUGUUAAAGACCGAGGCUCAACCUCGACACGGCGUUGGAUACUGGCAAGCUGGACGGUUGGAGAGGAAGGUAGAAUUACCAGUGUAGCGGUGGAAUGCGUAGAUACUGGUAGGAAUACCCAUUGCGAAGGCAGCCUUCUGGACAACACGUGACGCUGAGGCGCGAAAGUGUGGGGAGCAAACCGGAUUAGAAACCCUAGUAGUCC